Non-coding RNA from Guyanagaster necrorhizus, 94 nucleotides. The record is from the annotation of a RefSeq genome assembly. NCBI's taxonomy places the organism in Eukaryota, Fungi, Basidiomycota, Agaricomycetes, Agaricales, Physalacriaceae.
GUCUGCCUAGCUCAAUCGGAUAGAGCGUCAGACUCUUAUUACAGACCUGGGGCGUGUCAUGUGAAGGUUGUGAGUUCCACCCUCACGGUGGGCU